Molecule: ribosomal RNA, 382 nt
Filed under: uncultured bacterium
Lineage: Bacteria
Description: bacterial SSU rRNA
Rfam family: Bacterial small subunit ribosomal RNA
Source: RNAcentral
GACGAACGCUGGCGGCGUGCUUAACACAUGCAAGUUGAACGGUAAUCCAUGGAAGCUUGCUGAAGUGGAUUAUAGUAGCGGACGGGUGAGUAAUGCAUGAGAAGCUGCCAUUGGGAGGGGGACAACAGUUGGAAACGGCUGCUAAUACCCCGUAUGCCGGAAGGUGAAAGGGAUUAAUCCCGCCCGAUGAGGUGCUCAUGUCCUAUCAGCUAGUUGGUGAGGUAACGGCUCACCAAGGCGACGACGGGUAGCCGGCCUGAGAGGGUGAACGGCCACACUGGAACUGAGAUACGGUCCAGACUCCUACGGGAGGCAGCAGUGGGGAAUAUUGGGCAAUGGGGGAAACCCUGACCCAGCGACGCCGCGUGAAGGAAGACGGCCU